Nothobranchius furzeri (turquoise killifish) is the source of this 2596-nucleotide non-coding RNA. Lineage: Eukaryota; Metazoa; Chordata; Actinopteri; Cyprinodontiformes; Nothobranchiidae. The record is from RefSeq and is a predicted model, not a curated record.
UGGUGUUGUGCUAAACCAUCCAGGUUAUUUUGACAAAAGCACUAAAUGAAUGCACAUGUGCCAAGGCAAUUGAGAAGGAUCUGUGCUAUUUUGACUGUACUGAGCUUUUAUAUGGGAAAUAAAUCUGCUUUUGAAGCAUGGACGAAGAGUUUGUGGAAAGACAUUUGAUUUUGCCAGUGAGCUAUAAUGUUGGGCAGCACUGUCAGACUGUUUGGCCAAAUGACCUUAUGGUUUUGAGAAUGUCAUCUCGGUUUCAGGAAAUGAGCCAAACCAAUCGAGAAAAACUGUAAUAUCAAGCACGCAGGACAUAGAAACAAUGAGCCAACAAGAGACACAGAACUGAAGGGGUUUAAAUACAAGAGGGCUGGGAGCUUGGGUGAUUGGAAAACGAGAGGCAGGUGGGAGCAAUUAACAGAGACACAUGGCUGAACCAAAUGGGGAGACAGGACAGGGUGUGACAUUAACAAUGAAGCUUCUAUUAUAUAUAAAUAUCUAGGAUAUUAUAUAUUCGAUAGAAGUUCAUAUGCCAACGAGCUUGGUCUAAUUUUAAUCCAAAGAUUAAUGUUUAAUUUAAGAUAAUUAAAUUUGAUAGCAAAAGUUUAUUUAAUCAGAAGUUAAAGGAAUCUUUGCUUUUUCAAUAACCAGAAAUAUACACCAUUCUGUGUUUAAUUUCAAGAAGAGAGUCAAGUUUUAAAGUUAAGAAUUUAUUACUAACAAUUUUAAACUUUACAAUUUGGAACGACAAUUCAGAAUUGACAAUUUAAAUGACAAUUAAAAAUUGACAAUUUAAAUGACAAUUUACCAGCUUUGAUAUUAAAACUUGUUUUAAAGACAAACCUGUGACUGGAUGGAAAUCUAAAAUGAAAUGAGAGCUUGGAUGCGUGGAUGGAUUCUCUGAAGGUUUCUUUCAGAGAGAGAAGCUCGUUCUGGGUGAAAUGAUGGUUUUGCAGCUAACUGUUGUUACUUAGAGAAACAGCAUCAGACGUCAUCUGUCGAAAGUGUCUACCUCACCCAGUUUCAGGAGACCCCCUUCUGGAUCCGAGAUGUCAGGUGGAGAUGAUUUCCUCCGGGCACGAGGCUGGUAGAAGGACCUCAAUGCGACCAAAUCAGUCCUGGGAUGUCUCCGUGGGUCACACGACUGAUGAAACUAUUUGCGUCUCAAAAUCAAUAACUCUGAAGGAGUUUUGCGUCAGCUGGUUAUCGUGCGUUUAUUUAAAGCUAUUCUAUCAGCAUGACACACAGGUGGAGAUUCGGGGGGCUUCCCUCGUCUCCUGUGAUGGUGGUUGGUUCACAAACUGAACUUUUGCUGCUGGAAAUUUAGUUUUAACAAACUCCUCAGAACACGCCCACUCUCAGAGCAAGAAAGCUUUGGUCAUGAGUGGAAGACGUGAUGGCAGAUUACCUUUUACUCUGGAUAAGCUCUGUGUUAGAUGGAUAAAGUGGAAGUUGACCUUCUAGUUUACUGAACACACAUAACCGAAUAUCAACCAUAAUCAUAAUUAUACCCAAAGCAUAAUAAUUCAUUACUUUUACUGAAACAAGUGAUUAUUUAUGAUGAUUGUAAUAAACAGUAAUAAAGUCAAAGAGUUUAUUAAAAAUAUUAUUUAAAUUAUUAUUGUGAAACUUGAAGUGUCCUUCUUCUGGGACGGAAUAGCAGCAGAUGAGGAUGAUAUUCAGCCGACAUCAUGGCUCCUCGCUUGUUUAAUCUGUGGGGCAAAGUUACAGUCGACCCAGCUUUGACCUAGCUGGGAAAAUGUGACCUUUGUCACAAAUAAGAGGACCUUUGUGAUGCUACACACUCAAACAUUAAGUCUUGCAAGCAGAAACUCAAAUUACAGUCAGUAAAACAACCUACAAUUAAUAAAGUAUAAAAUAAAAUAAAACAAUACUAAAAAAUCUAAACAGUCUUCUUCUGACAGGAACUCUUCAGUAAGUUUAUGCAUCACACAAAACAUUUCAAACUUGGUCUGCAUUUGCUGCCUUGGACUCAGUUUUCCUAGAAACUGUACAACCAUUCUGUCAGGUACUGGGUUUGUGGGUUCACAUUUCCUCUUCACAGGUUGUUGGAGGGCUAGGGAGACUCAUAAGGAGACUCCAUCCAGCUAAUUACCUCGGCUGCAGAGUCACCCUUCUCACCUGCAGCCCAUCAUGUAAUUAGACGGGAGGAAUAAAGGAGCCAGUGAACCAGCCACUCAGCGCCAGAUUGUUUGCCUUAGUGGUAACGUCCAGCCACCUGAAUCUGUUCCUGUUUUAUUCUAGUCUGUUCCCUGAAACCUCUGUCUGUCAUCACAGGAUUCCUAGAACCCGUUCUGGAUUACACCUUUGUGUGGAAGUCUCAUACCAGCCUCUGCAGCUCCCGGAUCUCCUGAACCACGGCUGAAUCCUCCCUGGCUCUGUUCUCCUCCCGUGCGUCUCCUGUUCACCCUCCAACAACCUGCCUCACUUCUCCGAACCUCCACAUCUACCCACAGCCCCGGUACCGGCUCACCUCUCCCACGCUCCGCUACAACCAAAUCUCAUGAUCCAAUCUCUAGCUCCGGAACCAGCCCAUCCCUGCCAGCCUCCGCUCACCUCUAAUAAACUAUUUUUUACUACA